RNAcentral lists this ribosomal RNA (470 nucleotides) under uncultured bacterium. RNAcentral's name for it is "bacterial SSU rRNA". It matches the Rfam family "Bacterial small subunit ribosomal RNA", at positions 337 to 793 of the family's 1533-position model. The record is from RNAcentral.
UCCUACGGGAGGCAGCAUGGGGGAAUAUUGCACAAUGGCGCAAGCCUGAUGCAGCCAUGCCGCGUGUGUGAAGAAGGCCUUCGGGUUGUAAAGCACUUUCAGUUGUGAGGAAGGUGGUGUCGUUAAUAGCGGCAUCAUUUGACGUUAGCAACAGAAGAAGCACCGGCUAACUCCGUGCCAGCAGCCGCGGUAAUACGGGAGGGUGCGAGCGUUAAUCGGAAUUACUGGGCGUAAAGCGCAUGCAGGUUGGUUUGUUAAAGUCAGAUGUGAAAAGCCCCGGGCUCAAACCUCGGAACUGCAUUUGAAAACUGGCAAAACUAGAGUACUGUAGAGGGGGUAGAAUUUCAGGUGUAGCGGUGAAAAUGCGUAGAGAUCUGAAGGAAUACCGGUGGCGAAGGCGGCCCCCUGGACAGAUACUGACACUCAGAUGCGAAAGCGUGGGGAGCAAACAGGAUUAGAUACCCUGGUAG